CUGGGCUCGGACGGAGAGAACAGCGCGGAGAUGCCAGAUAAAGAAGUGGCUGAGGUAUAUAAAUUAAGAUAUCCAGCACCAAACAGUGUUGCCUCAAACCUGGCAUGAUGACUUGAGAACUUCCAUGCCUGCCCCAGAAGUUUCUCAGCAAGCCAACCAGUAAAAUAUUCCGAGCAUCUCUCCAGGACGAAGCUGAACCAGAGUUCACAUUUCUUAGUUGAAGUUCCCCCGAAGAGAGUCAUCCGGUAUUCCCUGAGCCUUGUGAGAUCUGCUCAACUCUCCCACCAUAUUCGGCCAUUAUUACUCUAAACAAUGCCCACCAAAGGGGAAAGAGCUUGCUGGGUUCCAGCCAUGAGCCCAGUUUCAUAGCAGCUGAAGACUCGUUACACAGUUACUCCAAUUUUGGCCACCAUGAAAGGACUCAGCCUAAUACUACAAAGCAAGAUCUUUAACACCAUAGUGGAGACCAGUGUUUCCCAGGAGGGUGCAGGUGCAAAUGGCAUUCACUACUGCAUCUAUAGCCCAGAAUGCUGACAACAAUAAUUAUUAAUGAUCGAGGCUGCUCUUAUGGCCUGGAAGCAAGACCAUUAAGAAACUAACACCUGAUAAAAGCUACACAGAGACCAUCCAGACCAACUGUAGCAGAUCUAGAAAUUACAGUUGUAGAUGCUGUUCACUGAGGAUAUUUUGGGUCACCUUUUUUAAGUGACUUAUUUUUAUCUACUGCUAAGGAUCCAGGCAAACACUGUGGCUUGGAAGUUGGACUCCAAGAGCAGCCCCCUACCCCCAGGAGUUGUGUCAGACUGAGCAUAUCUCAGCCAUUAGGCCCCAGCACGGACAGAAAAAUGCAUCUUCCCAGGACAUCUUGUUGUAAUCCACAUUAUCCAUGGAAACACAGAGAUAAGGAAGGCUGAGAAGGGAUAAUCAGGACAGGUAAAUAAUAGCCUCAAAUCCAAGCUUACCUAGGAGGUCAUCUCUGUCCAUUUGUGUUUCUGAACAUAGUAUGCAAAGGACUUGCUGUCGUGGGUUGAAUGGUAGUGCUCAAAAUAUCUGCCUAAAUCCCAGAACCUAUGAACGUAACCUUAUUUGGGAAAGGGUCUUUGCAGAUGUAAAUUAAAGAUCUCAACACAAGAUCAUCCUGGAUCAUCCAGGUGGGCCUUCAAUCCAAUGACAGGUGUUCUUAAAAAAGAUAGGCAGGGAGAAACAGACGAGAAGGCCAUGUGAAGAUAGAGGCUGAGAUGGCAGUUAUACAGCUACAACCCAAGGAACACCCAAGGACACCAGAAGAUGGAAGAGGCAAGGAAGGAUUCUCACCUAGAGACCUGAAGGGAGUUCGGUCUUUCUAACACCCUGAUGUCAGAUUUCUGGCCUCCAGAACUAUGAGAGAAUAAGUUUCUGUUAUUUUAAAGCAUCCAGUUUGUGGUAAUAUAUUAUAUCAGCCCUAGGAAAUUAAUACACUUGGCGACUCUCUUUAGCUUGACCCUACUCUUGAUGUCUACCUCCAAGACAAGCAGCAGCCCAGGUAGCAACACCAUUUUUAAUCCUAAAUUCCUCUGUAAGUAUCUUGGCCUCUACUUCAGAUGUGCUCCCUACCACAUUCAAACUAAGGCACCUCCCUGCACCUCUGCUCACCCCACAACUACCCAAGUUUGGAGCAAAGUGCUGGAUCAUGAAAGAGACUGUCCAUCUUCAUGAACAACUCAACCAAUUAGUCUACAAUCUUCCAUUCUAACACAUGCUCCAACUUGGCAAGAUACCAUUCACAACUGUCAAUGCAAUUAUCCUCCCAUCCAGUGCCCAGACACGUGCAGACAAGGUGAAUCAGCAGGUGCCCUUCUGAUGCACCCCCUACAGACACUGCAGUUCUUCCACCUGCUCACUCUCCAUAGAAGUGGUGUACAGCAAAUCGCUCUUUUCUUCCUACACAAUAGCCAUUUCCCUAAAAAUUACCACUUCUCCUCUAACUUUUCUCAGCUCUUCACUCUUUUUGACACAUACCAGAGCUGAGCCCAACACCUGGCACAUAGAAGACAUGCAAAAAAUACUUGCUGAUUGAAUGGGAGCCAGAUAGCUUAGGAGCAUCCAGAAAGAUAUUCUAGAAACUAACUCAUGCACGAAGGAAUGCUUUAAAGACUUUCCCACUGGCACUGCUGCUGCAGCUGGCCUCCUAACACUCUGGACAACUUUCUUUAGCUUGACCUUACUCUUGAUGCCUGUCACCUACUGAUGAUGAAAGCCUGUUUUGGACUCUUCCCUUUGGGCACACAGGUAUAUAUUAAAGCUUGCUUCCAGAGAAUCCUUCCUGUCAAAGAAAGAGGAGUCUAUGAAGUGAACAAGCAAAUUUAAGUACAGCCCCUACCUUCUGGCUAGCCUUCAACAACUUUUCUUCUUCCUCCAUUUGGCCUCACUGGUUACAGACCUUAGUUUCAAAUCUCAGAACACUUGACUUUGAACUAAUGUUUGAACCACCUUCUCCACCUAAUGUUGCUUUCACUAGUUCUCAUGCUAUGCUUUGGGAGAGACAAUCAGAGCAAUGUAAUCAUACAGAUCAAAUAUAGAAUCCCAGCAUCACCUUCAAGCUAUGUGACCUUGAGAAAAUCCCCUGAUUCUUAGAUCUUUCACCUGCCAAACAGAAAAAAGGUAUGAAAUUUGCAGUUUUGUUGGGAGGUUUAAAAAUGCUGAGAGGGUUAGAGAACUGGCAGGAUAGCUGAAACACAAUAAAAGCUCAAAACACGUCAGCUAUUGUUCUUAUUGGACCUACCUCGAUAUUCGUAUUGCAUAU
Molecule: long non-coding RNA, 2782 nt
Organism: Lutra lutra (Eurasian river otter)
Lineage: Eukaryota; Metazoa; Chordata; Mammalia; Carnivora; Mustelidae
Exons: 3
Source: RefSeq, a predicted model, not a curated record